This 208-nucleotide ribosomal RNA is filed under the name uncultured bacterium. Its description in RNAcentral is "partial 16S ribosomal RNA". It matches the Rfam family "Bacterial small subunit ribosomal RNA", at positions 568 to 775 of the family's 1533-position model. The record is from RNAcentral.
UGCGUAGGUGGUGAGGUAAGUCGGAUGUGAAAUCUCCGAGCUCAACUCGGAAAUGGCAUUGGAAACUGCCUUGCUAGAGGAUUGGAGGGGAGACUGGAAUGCUUGGUGUAGCAGUGAAAUGCGUAGAUAUCAAGCGGAACACCAGUGGCGAAGGCGAGUCUCUGGACAAUUCCUGACACUGAGCACGAAAGCCGAGGGGAGCGAAACG